AGACAGGUAAGCUAAGUAAAGCUAGUGGGUUCAUGCCCCAUUUAUAGGUUAACACCUCCUUUCUAAUG
Molecule: transfer RNA, 68 nt
Filed under: Daphnia magna
Lineage: Eukaryota; Metazoa; Arthropoda; Branchiopoda; Diplostraca; Daphniidae
Description: tRNA-Met
Source: RNAcentral